This 253-nucleotide ribosomal RNA is filed under the name uncultured bacterium. RNAcentral's name for it is "partial 16S ribosomal RNA". It matches the Rfam family "Bacterial small subunit ribosomal RNA", at positions 524 to 776 of the family's 1533-position model. The record is from RNAcentral.
UACGUAGGGGGCUAGCGUUGUCCGGAAUCAUUGGGCGUAAAGCGCGUGUAGGCGGUUCGGUAAGUCCGCUGUGAAAGUCGGGGGCUCAACCCUCGGAUGCCGGUGGAUACUGUCGGGCUAGAGUGCGGAAGAGGCGAGUGGAAUUCCUGGUGUAGCGGUGAAAUGCGCAGAUAUCAGGAGGAACACCAAUUGCGAAGGCAGCUCGCUGGGACGUGACUGACGCUGAGACGCGAAAGCGUGGGGAGCAAACAGG